UUUGCAUGACCGCCUCUGGAAUCCCAGCCUCACGUAUUUCGAUAUCAGAUGGGGAAAAUAAUAAUUCUGGUAUCAUGAAUCUCUCAUUUGAAAGAUUCAAAACUUGUUGCUCUAUUUUUUGAUUAAUAUCUCUAACAAUAUAUCCAUGUUUUCCAGUGCUGUAAUCGGGCAAAGCAUAACAAAUUUCCAAUUUUGACCGUGGUUUUUCGUGACAUAUCUCCAUGUCCUCCUUGAAGUUUUGAGACACAUAACAAACGGACUCUUUAAUUUCAUUAACAAUGUAUGUUUCUUCCAUCAUAUUGUACUUCCGGUAUGAGAUGACUUCUUUUAAAUAAU
Schizosaccharomyces pombe (fission yeast) is the source of this 336-nucleotide non-coding RNA. The record is from the annotation of a GenBank genome assembly. NCBI's taxonomy places the organism in Eukaryota, Fungi, Ascomycota, Schizosaccharomycetes, Schizosaccharomycetales, Schizosaccharomycetaceae.